Molecule: unclassified non-coding RNA, 1483 nt
Filed under: Bombus terrestris (buff-tailed bumblebee)
Lineage: Eukaryota; Metazoa; Arthropoda; Insecta; Hymenoptera; Apidae
Description: misc RNA ENSBTSG00005032839.1
Source: RNAcentral
GGAUGGGCGGGUCGGAAGCAGAGAGGAAAAUUCGCGACAGCUCCGACGACGCGACGUCGAGAACGACGAAGCGGAGGCAAAGGCAGAAAAGGUGCAAUUAGUUAGGUAACAGGCCGCGGGAAUGAAACGCAGCGGAAUUAGCAGACGGCCGCUAUCGAAGAUCAGAGAAAAGUUUGUCCGACCGCGGAUACGCUGUGUUGGUCGGUUUCUCGAUUGUAAGAUAGAAAGACGCGGACGAGAUCGAGGUCGAAGACGAGACCGAGAGAAACGUCGUCACCGAUGGCAAGAGGAAGGUAAAUACCACUUUGGGAAACGUACGGACCGGCCACGAUCCAACAACGGCAAGAUGCUUCCCUCUCGAAACGUAGUUUCGCCAACGCCAAAGUCCCGUCGGACUAAAAAAGACUGGCAAGCCGUUGUUGCGUGGAAUGGGUGUGUCGGCCGUCGGUCGAGGAAAGGAAUAAGGUUAAACCCUGCGGGGUAAAAUCAGACACCACCUGUUAUCGCAACGACGUGGAAAUCGAUAGGUACGGCGAAGAAGAAUCCGUUUCCCUCGUCUUUCUCCUUCUUCUCUCGGUCUUCUUUUCUUUUUUUUUUUUCCUCCUAUCCUCGUUCCCUUUAUCUUCUCUUUUCUCACGGUUUGUUCGUAAUUUUUCUUUAACGACUCGAAACGAACACCGGACUCCAUCGAUUCGCUCGUCACACCGAGAGGCGAUUGUUGGCUUUAGUUUUCUUUGGAAGAAACUCGAGCGAGAUCGAAGGAAGAAAGAGAACGUGCAACGAAAUUUCAUCGAACGCGAGCCGCGACCAACGUUGGCGAUCGCAGAGAAACCUCUGUCGGCGAAUCGCUCGGAUCGACCGAAUUCUCGCACCACUGUGUACCCUUUCGAUCUACGCUUUCAUUUAGCCAGCCGACUAUAUUAAUUAUCGUCCGCGCAAUAUGCAUAUCGUACGAAAGUCUGAAUAAUACGUUCGCCGUUAAUCACGCGCGUAUCGAUGCUGGCGGUGUUCCCCGAGUUUGGAUAAUACGGUCGAAUUCGAUUCUUUGAAAUUUAUAAUACACGGCGCGCGUGAAAUAGCCCCGGAUUUCCACGUUCGCCUCGUCGUGCCUCCCUGUAAAAUCGAGCACCGUUAUCAAGGAGAAUAAAGCGAGCUCGAUAAAUUUGGUGACGCGCGUGAUUCGUCGCCGACGCAAUGGGAAACGACGCGAUACGAUACCUUCGAUAAAAGCGCGUCAUUUAAUUAUCCUCGGUAACUUUUUAGCCAGGGACGUCGAUGGAAAAUUACGGGUCGGCGAGCGACGCGCGACGCUGCAAUUAUCCUGCUACAUCGUUUCCAGCCGUAACUUGCGCGUAAUCCAACGAAAUUCGCCCACCUUUGAUAUCGAAACGAAAUUAUUUUCCGGAACGCGCAAUUUCAUCGCGCAACCGACGCUACACCACGUCGAUCGUUUUACGUUGCCGCGCGAAAUCACCCAUGAAAA